ACAAUGAAGAGUUUGAUCCUGGCUCAGGAUGAACGCUAGCGGCAGGCUUAACACAUGCAAGUCGAGGGGCAGCGCGGGGGUUAGCAAUAACUUCUGGCGGCGACCGGCGCAAGGGUGCGUAACGCGUGAGCAACUUGCCCUCAUCAGGGGAAUAAUCGCUGGAAACGGCGUCUAAUGCCCCAUGGCAAUCAUCUGCGGCAUCGCAGUUGGUUUAAAGAUCCGUCGGAUGAGGAUAGGCUCGCGUGACAUUAGCUAGACGGCGGGGUAACGGCCCACCGUGGCGACGAUGUCUAGGGGUUCUGAGAGGAAGGUCCCCCACACUGGAACUGAGACACGGUCCAGACUCCUACGGGAGGCAGCAGUGAGGA
Molecule: ribosomal RNA, 368 nt
Filed under: Bacteroidales bacterium
Lineage: Bacteria; Pseudomonadati; Bacteroidota; Bacteroidia; Bacteroidales
Description: bacterial SSU rRNA
Rfam family: Bacterial small subunit ribosomal RNA
Source: RNAcentral